RNAcentral lists this ribosomal RNA (253 nucleotides) under uncultured bacterium. RNAcentral describes it as "partial 16S ribosomal RNA". It matches the Rfam family "Bacterial small subunit ribosomal RNA", at positions 524 to 776 of the family's 1533-position model. The record is from RNAcentral.
UACAGAGGGUGCGAGCGUUAAUCGGAAUUACUGGGCGUAAAGCGUGCGUAGACGGUUAUUUAAGUCGGAUGUGAAAGCCCCGGGCUCAACCUGGGAAUUGCAUUCGAGACUGAAUAGCUAGGGUACGGUAGAGGGAAGCGGAAUUUCCGGUGUAGCGGUGAAAUGCGUAGAUAUCGGAAGGAACACCUGCGGCGAAGGCGGGUUGCUGGGCUGACACUGACGCUGAUGCGCGAAAGCUAGGGGAGCGAACGGG